RNAcentral lists this long non-coding RNA (234 nucleotides) under Hordeum vulgare. Its description in RNAcentral is "long non-coding RNA (HVUL_LNC010279)". Lineage: Eukaryota; Viridiplantae; Streptophyta; Magnoliopsida; Poales; Poaceae. The record is from RNAcentral.
UCGGAUCAUAUGGUGUUUGUUUCUUGCUAUCUUAUUGUGAUGCAUUGAAUCUUUCCCUUUGAGAUCUCGUUAUGUUGGAUUUGAGAACACUUGAUGUAUGUCUUGGUAUUCAACUUGUGGAUUUCCGUGGUGACAAUGGGGUAAUCUAUGCAUAGGGGUUGAUACACGUUCUUGUCCUACCUUCUUCGAUAUAAAUCUUGUGUAUUAUUUGAAGUUCUUUGUGUUGUAUUGAAU